RNAcentral lists this unclassified non-coding RNA (465 nucleotides) under Rhizopogon verii. RNAcentral's name for it is "sequence contains 18S rRNA gene, ITS1, 5.8S rRNA gene, ITS2". The stretch from base 346 to 465 matches the Rfam family "5.8S ribosomal RNA", at positions 1 to 119 of the family's 154-position model. Lineage: Eukaryota; Fungi; Basidiomycota; Agaricomycetes; Boletales; Rhizopogonaceae. The record is from RNAcentral.
CAUUAAUAGAAAUGUGUAAAAGAUGCACUUCUUAAGUAGUUGAGGAAUUUAGGGGGUUAAAAUAGUUGUUGCUGGCCUUGUCAUGAGGCAUUGUGCACGCUACCUCUGAGGACCUCUUCAAACUGGGGUGUGUGUCUAUCAUCUCAUCUCUCACCUGUGCACUUAAUGUAGGUCUGCAUGGUUUUGGUAAAACGAAACUGUGCUAGAGCCUCUCUCUCUGCGGGGGGAAAGGACGAAAGUACCUAUGUCUUCAAAUACAUCUUUGUGUAGAAAGUCUUAGAAUGUUUACUAUCAUUGAGUCACGACUCUUAGGAGACGUGGGUCUUUGAGAUAAAAGUUUAUUACAACUUUCAGCAAUGGAUCUCUUGGCUCUCGCAUCGAUGAAAAACGCAGCGAAUCCCGAUAUGUAAUGUGAAUUGCAGAUCUACAGUGAAUCAUCGAAUCUUUGAACGCACCUUGCGCUCC